CCGCUAGCGGACAUUCCCAUCGCUUAGUGUCUUUCAGUCAUCGCCCCUAGAGACGCCCUUUCCAGGGGCGGCCUCAAAGCCUCUCCCAAAGGAGGGAAAGUGGGUGGUGGGGGAAGGGUGGGGAGUGAUGUAGGGUUUUUCAUUGUCAAGAAAACCCCUUACACUCUCCAGGCUUCCCCCACUCGCAUCUCAGGAUAAUGAAACGCCUCUUGGCUGGGCUUAAGUUAGUAGCAGACGUUGUGUUAAACGAAUGAGGCAUUAGUUCUUCUUUCAAAUGGUAAAUUCUCCUCGUGAGGUAAUGCACAUCCGCGCGCUACCCAGAAUUCCCCAGUUCCCGCGUGGCGUGUUUCCGGUCUGCGUGCUGCGGGGGAGCAGCAGGGCGAGGCUCCAACGUUCGGGAACCACUUCAGCGUGCCCCGCCCCUGCAGGUCCUAGCCCGUUUUCUCCCCUCAAAUCAAUAGUUUCCUUGUAUUUUAUGAUUGUAAGAAGAAAACUGCUUUCAAAAAGUGCCUGCUCCCUGCAAAACUGAUAGAACUUUAGACAAUACCAGCAAUCAGCAAGAUUUCAGAACAAGGAUAAAAAUGAUUUCUGUGGGAAGAUCUCAGUAUACCCCACAAAUAGGUGCCUUUGGAACAUCCAUGUGUCAACAUCAAGUUUGCUGCUGUAAAUGUUUGUCCGAAACCCAGGAAAGAGGUAGGGCAGGAGAGAGAAGAAUCAAGGCUUUGAGAAGUUAAGGUAACUUGCCAAAGGUGACCAGUAAGUGACCAGUUUAGGAUUGAACUCAGGUCACCCAUCUCCAGGUUAAAAACCAUGCAGCAUGUGGGUGUAUCAUUUAUCUAAGUUCAUCACAAUGUACAGUUUAAAUGGAUACAAUUUAUAUAAAUUAUACCCAUAAAGUUAAUUUUAAAAAAUAAUGCAGAGUGAAUGUAAUGUUUUUAUGAUAAAGAAACAACAUUAUGGGGGCGCCUAGGUGUCUCAGUUCAUUAAACAUCUGUAUUUGGCUCAGGUCAUGAUCUCACGGUUCAUGAGUUCCAGCCCCACAUGGGGCUCUCUGCUGACAGCUCAGAGCCAGGAGCCUGCUUUGGAUUCUGUGUCUCCCUUGCUCUCUGCCCCUCCCCCCUCUCCCCCCCCCAAAUAAACAUUAAAAAAAAAAAAGAAACAACAUGAUGAUUUCAUACAUGACAGUUUCAGAGGAAAAAGAGAUGGAGGUAAUAUAUAUAUAUAUUUAUAAAUAUAUAUAUAAUUUAUAAAUAUAUAUAUAUUUAAGAUAUACACUGAAAGAUUGAUGAUACUAUAGUCAAGGAUUGUUCAUUUAGUUGACCUUCCUAAACUUAAGAAACAGAUUUAUAGAAAUAUCAGCCAGGAUGCUAUCGUGGGUAAGGGGCAUGCAAGUCUGUUGUGGAAAUGAAUCAAGCAAAUUUUUCAACAAAAUUAAAAAAGACAUCUGAAGUAUGUGAUACCAAGUUUGUCUAACAAAAAUAUGUUCAAGUACAGUACAUUAAAAAGUUAGCUGUCUCUCAAAAUAAAUUAAUAAACUUUAAAAAAAAAUGUGGGGUUCCUGAGAGGCUCAGUUGGUUAGGGGUCAGACUCUUGAUUUUGGCUCAGGUCAUGAUCUCAAGGUUUGUGAGUUAGAGCCCUGAGUUAGGCUCUGUGCUAGCAGUGCAGAGCCUGCUUGGGAUUCUCUCUCUCCCUCUCUCUCUGCCCCUCCCCUACUCAUGCUGUCUCUGUUUCUCUCAAAAUAAACAAAUAAACCUAAAAAAAAAAGUUAGAUAUUUUUGCUGGUGGUAUGCAUUAAAGUCACAUUUUCUUUGUAUAAUAAUGUUUUAUACUAAGCAUUGUGAUUAUAAGCUGUGCAGCAGAAUUUAUACAUUUUUAUUUUCAGUGAAAACUUACUUGAAAAGUUUGUCACAACAAUCAAGGCACAAAACUGCUUUUGUGUUUAAAGACUGUAUUGGGGUGUUUCAAGAGAAUAUAUUGACUCCUUUUUCAUUGUAUGAUGUUCCAUUUUGAAGUUUCACCAAUUUCAGAAACAUGUUGAAUUUAAGGCUUUAAUUAAAAUUUACAAAUCAAAUAUUUUGUGAAUUGGGUAUUCUGAACAAUUAUAGUUGCCCAUACAUAUGUAGAAACAGGGCACAAAAUAGCUCAGUUCCUUCCAAACUUCCUAGGAUGCUUAAACUGCUAGUGACUAUCCCCACCCAAUACAGAUAUUUAACAGCCCCAAUAAUGGCAAACUCCACAAGGCCUCAGAACAAGAUGUGACCAGUGAAAUCCCACUGUUAGGAAUUCUGCACAACCUUGAGUUUUCCAAGAGAAUAUUCUCUUCAUUGGCCAUCAUGAAAACAGUGACCUUGAGUGAAAAAGAAAAGGAUAGUGAGAGAAAGCAUGAGUCUUAAGGCAAUUUUAUCAGGAUGCAUAUUUAGCACCCUUUGUGAAAUGCAGGAGGAAACUGACCCAA
Acinonyx jubatus (cheetah) is the source of this 2455-nucleotide long non-coding RNA. RefSeq lists it as uncharacterized. The transcript is spliced from 4 exons. NCBI's taxonomy places the organism in Eukaryota, Metazoa, Chordata, Mammalia, Carnivora, Felidae. The record is from RefSeq and is a predicted model, not a curated record.